GCUAACUAGCUAGCCAAACACCUGGACUAAUUUUACAUUAUAAAUAUUCCCUCACAACCUGACAACUUGUGAACAAAUCAUUUUUCCACCUGAGUACGGGCGACGGAAAGGGAGCAAAUUGAGCGACAGAGAAAGUACCGCAAGGGAAAGCUGAAAAAGAAGUGAAACAACCCAUAUAAGCACCAUAAAGCAAAGAUUAAAGCUUGUACCUUUUGCAUCAUGAUCUAGCCAGAAUACUCAGGCGAAGAGAACUUUAGUUUGAGCCCCCGAAACUGGACGAGCUACUCCGAGACAGCCUAUUGUAGGGCACACCCGUCUCUGUUGCAAAAGAGUGGGAAGAGCUCCGAGUAGAAGUGAAAGACCUAUCGAGUCUAGUUAUAGCUGGUUGUUCGAGAAAUGAAUAGGAGUUCAGCCCCCUAGCUUCUCACAUCCCUAAGAUCCUUCUUCUAGUGAUUAAGAGAAACCGGGGGAGUUAUUCGAAGGAGGUACAGCUCCUUCGAACAAGGACACAACCUUUGCAGGCGGUCAAGGAUCAAAAUUCUUAAGGAAAACUGUUUCAGUGGGCCUAAGGGCAGCCACCUGAUUAGAAAGCGUUAAAGCUCAGACAGUAUAAUCCUCUUAUCCUGAUAACCUUUCCUCCACCCCUAGUUUUACCGAACCGUCCCAUGCCCCCAUGGGAGUGACCCUGCUAGAAUGAGUAAUAAGAGGGGCUACCCCCUCUCCCCGCACAUGUGUAAGUUGGACCGGACCCCCCGCCGACAAAUAACGAACCCAACCCUAGAGGGGAAUUUGGACUGAAUUACAACCAAGAAAACUCCAAAGUGACCAUCGUUAAUCCCACACAGGAGUGCCUAGAGGAAAGACUAAAAGGGGGAAAAGGAACUCGGCAAACACAAGCCUCGCCUGUUUACCAAAAACAUCGCCUCUUGAUCACACACGCAUAAGAGGUCCCGCCUGCCCGGUGACCCUGGGUUAAACGGCCGCGGUAUUUUAACCGUGCGAAGGUAGCGCAAUCACUUGUCCUUUAAAUGAAGACCUGUAUGAAUGGCUAGACGAGGGCUUAACUGUCUCCUCCCCCCAGUCAAUGAAAUUGAUCUCCCCGUGCAGAAGCGGGGAUUCUCCCAUAAGACGAGAAGACCCUAUGGAGCUUUAGACACUAGACGGCCUACGUUAAGCUCCCUACUCUAAUGGGGAAAAGCAUUAUAGCCCCCGUCUCUCCUGUCUUCGGUUGGGGCGACCGCGGAGGACAAAAAGCCUCCAUGUGGACCGGGGUCACAGACCCCACAGCUGAGGGCUGCGGCCCCAAGCAACAGAAAAUCUGACCAAGAUGAUCCGGCAAAUUUGCCGAUUAACGGAACAAGUUACCCUAGGGAUAACAGCGCAAUCCUCUCCCAGAGUCCCUAUCGACGAGGGGGUUUACGACCUCGAUGUUGGAUCAGGACAUCCUAUUGGUGCAGCCGCUAAUAAGGGUUCGUUUGUUCAACGAUUAAAGUCCUACGUGAUCUGAGUUCAGACCGGAGCAAUCCAGGUCAGUUUCUAUCUAUGAAAUGGUCUCUCCCAGUACGAAAGGACCGGAGAGAAGAGGCCCAUGCCCAGGGCACGCCCCACCCUCACCUGCUGAAGGCAACUAAAACAGACAAGAGGGCAUACUCAGGUGUGUCAGAGAGCAUGACAUCCUAGUGUGGCAGGGCUCGGGUAACAACCCACCCUGCU
Molecule: ribosomal RNA, 1713 nt
Filed under: Plecoglossus altivelis (ayu)
Lineage: Eukaryota; Metazoa; Chordata; Actinopteri; Osmeriformes; Plecoglossidae
Description: 16S ribosomal RNA
Rfam family: Bacterial large subunit ribosomal RNA
Source: RNAcentral